ACGGCCCUAUGGGUUGUAAACUUCUUUUGUCGGGGAACAAAAGCCGAUUUGCGAAUUGGUCUGAGUGUACCCGAAGAAAAGCAUCGGCUAACUCCGUCGCC
This 101-nucleotide ribosomal RNA is filed under the name uncultured bacterium. RNAcentral's name for it is "partial 16S ribosomal RNA". The record is from RNAcentral.